GGCAUAUAUUCAGUUACUUUGUACAUUGUUGCUGAGGAUACUCCGUUCAGAAUAGUUAAGUAUAUUAUUGUUACCCUUCAUAGUUUAUAUUUUAUAUUAAUUUUUUCCUACCGUCGUAGGCUGUAAUAAGUAAUCUAAGUGAUUAGUGGGCAUAUAUUCAGUUACUUUGUACAUUGUUGCUGAGGAUACUCCGUUCAGGAUAGUUAAGUAUAUUAUUGUUACCCUUCAUAGUUUAUAUUUUAUAUUA
Molecule: non-coding RNA, 247 nt
Organism: Cinara cedri
Lineage: Eukaryota; Metazoa; Arthropoda; Insecta; Hemiptera; Aphididae
Source: the annotation of a GenBank genome assembly